AGAUAAAUGUAUUGUAAAUUGGAAUGCAAAUAUAUUUUACUGAGUUAGUACAACCAAAUAUAGUGUGAUCAGAGGUAUAAGUUCAUGAAUCUAUCAAAAACAUUGUGACAUUUUCCAAUCAAAAUGAAUGUUAAAAACAAUUUGAAACAUUAUCCAAAAACAAUGAACAUUACACACAAUGUUGCCUUAACCAAUAACAAUGAAUGUAACAAACAAUUGUUUCAUUAGAAUGGUAAAUAUACAACCAGCUCUUACAAAAAAGCAAACUGAUCGUGCAGGACCCUCAUGGGAAGUAAAGGUUGUAAAAACUUCCCUCGUCAACAAAAAAGGUUGUUUGAAGAUAUAUAGAUAGGGAAAUAUCUUGUCAUUCUGGGCAGCAACUGAACAAUAUAAAAUAGUAAUAUGUAAACCAUGAAAAAAUAUUUAAUUGUUUGGCUUUUUGUUUAAAUUUGAAAAUUUUGGCAUUUAUUAUAUUUUUAUUUUUUGAGAGAUAUCUUCUCUUAUUUUAUUUCAGAAUCUAUGCAUGAUGUAGCUUAAUAUCAAGUAAAAAUAAAUUUUUUGAAUCAAUGUUGACAAUUUCUGAUCCUGGUUAGCAGGUUGUGGUAUCUUUUCAGAUUCUAUGAAAAAUUUCAGGUUACUUGCACAAACAUUGACCUUUGGUAUACUUGUUUACAGUACACACCACUGGACGUUAAAAAACAUUCAUUUUUUCAUCUGAAGCACAAAUUUUACAAGAAUUUAAAAAAAAAAAAUCCAUGCCUCUCUUUCAGAAAAUUACAAUGCCCAUAUUUCUUCUUUUGGGCUAAAGUCAAAUGUGUAUGGAUCAAUUGCUGGAGCCUUAAAUCAAUUCAGACAUUUAUAAUUUUGGACCAUUUGUUUCGUGAUGUGUUUGUUUCUUUUGUGGUAUACACUUUAAAUCAUUUCUAUAAUCAGUAGAUAUAGUUUAAAACUCAAAUGAUAAAAUAGUUUAACUAGAAUUAUAAGGAUGUUAUAUCCCCUGAAGAUGAGGGUCCCAAGGCAGUCACUUAAUAGUACAUUAUGAAAAUCUUUGAAUACACAAAUAAAAAAAGACAUUAUCUGUCAUCCUACAGUUGUUUUUUAUAAGUUUUCCUUUUCAGUUACAUGAUCCUAAUGAAACUACCCCGUUAUUCAUCGAACAAGAAGUCAUUAUAUUUUAAAUAGGACAUGUCAUAAAUACAACAAAAAUGCUGUUAUAAAACUUGUCAUUUAUCAUGUUUAAAAAUACAUAUUAUUAGUCAUCUGUUAGUUUCCACUUUUUAUCACUUAAUU
RNAcentral lists this long non-coding RNA (1290 nucleotides) under Mytilus galloprovincialis (Mediterranean mussel). The record is from RNAcentral. Lineage: Eukaryota; Metazoa; Mollusca; Bivalvia; Mytilida; Mytilidae.